GACGAACGCUGGCGGCGUGCUUAACACAUGCAAGUCGAACGAGGGAAUUGAAAGCUUGCUUUUGAAACCCGAGUGGCAAACGGGUGAGUAACGCGUAGGCAACCUGCCGUUGAGAUGGGGACAACAUCCCGAAAGGGGUGCUAAUACCGAAUGUUGUGAGAGCUUCGCAUGGAGCUUUCACUAAAGAUGACCUCUCCUUGGAAGUUAUCGCUCAACGAUGGGCCUGCGUCUGAUUAGCUAGUUGGUGGGGCAACGGCCUACCAAGCCGACGAUCAGUAGCCGGUCGUGAGAGGAUGAACGGCCACACUGGAACUGAGACAGGUCCAGGACUCCUACGGGAGGCAGCAGUGGGAACUUCCGCAACUGGGCGAAAGUCUGACGGAGCAACGCCG
RNAcentral lists this ribosomal RNA (392 nucleotides) under uncultured bacterium. RNAcentral's name for it is "bacterial SSU rRNA". It matches the Rfam family "Bacterial small subunit ribosomal RNA", at positions 28 to 399 of the family's 1533-position model. The record is from RNAcentral.